GCCUACGGGACGCAGCAGUGAGGAAUAUUGGUCAAUGGUCGGGAGACUGAACCAGCCAAGCCGCGUGAGGGAUGAAGGUACAGAGUAUCGUAAACCUCCUUUGUCAGGGAACAAAGGCGGGGACGUGUCCCCGGAUGAGUGUACCUGAAGAAAAAGCAUCGGCUAACUCCGUGCCAGCAGCCGCGGUAAUACGGAGGAUGCGAGCGUUAUCCGGAUUUAUUGGGUUUAAAGGGUGCGCAGGCGGUCUGUUAAGUCAGCGGUCAAAGCCCGGGGCUCAACCCCGGCCCGCCGUUGAAACUGGCCGG
Molecule: ribosomal RNA, 305 nt
Filed under: uncultured bacterium
Lineage: Bacteria
Description: bacterial SSU rRNA
Rfam family: Bacterial small subunit ribosomal RNA
Source: RNAcentral